UACCUCACUCAGGAUGAUGCC
Molecule: non-coding RNA, 21 nt
Filed under: Mus musculus (house mouse)
Lineage: Eukaryota; Metazoa; Chordata; Mammalia; Rodentia; Muridae
Source: RNAcentral